RNAcentral lists this ribosomal RNA (2802 nucleotides) under Escherichia coli. RNAcentral's name for it is "bacterial LSU rRNA". It matches the Rfam family "Bacterial large subunit ribosomal RNA". Lineage: Bacteria; Pseudomonadati; Pseudomonadota; Gammaproteobacteria; Enterobacterales; Enterobacteriaceae. The record is from RNAcentral.
GGGUUGUGAGGUUAAGCGACUAAGCGUACACGGUGGAUGCCCUGGCAGUCAGAGGCGAUGAAGGACGUGCUAAUCUGCGAUAAGCGUCGGUAAGGUGAUAUGAACCGUUAUAACCGGCGAUUUCCGAAUGGGGAAACCCAGUGUGAUUCGUCACACUAUCAUUAACUGAAUCCAUAGGUUAAUGAGGCGAACCGGGGGAACUGAAACAUCUAAGUACCCCGAGGAAAAGAAAUCAACCGAGAUUCCCCCAGUAGCGGCGAGCGAACGGGGAGCAGCCCAGAGCCUGAAUCAGUGUGUGUGUUAGUGGAAGCGUCUGGAAAGGCGCGCGAUACAGGGUGACAGCCCCGUACACAAAAAUGCACAUGCUGUGAGCUCGAUGAGUAGGGCGGGACACGUGGUAUCCUGUCUGAAUAUGGGGGGACCAUCCUCCAAGGCUAAAUACUCCUGACUGACCGAUAGUGAACCAGUACCGUGAGGGAAAGGCGAAAAGAACCCCGGCGAGGGGAGUGAAAAAGAACCUGAAACCGUGUACGUACAAGCAGUGGGAGCACGCUUAGGCGUGUGACUGCGUACCUUUUGUAUAAUGGGUCAGCGACUUAUAUUCUGUAGCAAGGUUAACCGAAUAGGGGAGCCGAAGGGAAACCGAGUCUUAACUGGGCGUUAAGUUGCAGGGUAUAGACCCGAAACCCGGUGAUCUAGCCAUGGGCAGGUUGAAGGUUGGGUAACACUAACUGGAGGACCGAACCGACUAAUGUUGAAAAAUUAGCGGAUGACUUGUGGCUGGGGGUGAAAGGCCAAUCAAACCGGGAGAUAGCUGGUUCUCCCCGAAAGCUAUUUAGGUAGCGCCUCGUGAAUUCAUCUCCGGGGGUAGAGCACUGUUUCGGCAAGGGGGUCAUCCCGACUUACCAACCCGAUGCAAACUGCGAAUACCGGAGAAUGUUAUCACGGGAGACACACGGCGGGUGCUAACGUCCGUCGUGAAGAGGGAAACAACCCAGACCGCCAGCUAAGGUCCCAAAGUCAUGGUUAAGUGGGAAACGAUGUGGGAAGGCCCAGACAGCCAGGAUGUUGGCUUAGAAGCAGCCAUCAUUUAAAGAAAGCGUAAUAGCUCACUGGUCGAGUCGGCCUGCGCGGAAGAUGUAACGGGGCUAAACCAUGCACCGAAGCUGCGGCAGCGACGCUUAUGCGUUGUUGGGUAGGGGAGCGUUCUGUAAGCCUGCGAAGGUGUGCUGUGAGGCAUGCUGGAGGUAUCAGAAGUGCGAAUGCUGACAUAAGUAACGAUAAAGCGGGUGAAAAGCCCGCUCGCCGGAAGACCAAGGGUUCCUGUCCAACGUUAAUCGGGGCAGGGUGAGUCGACCCCUAAGGCGAGGCCGAAAGGCGUAGUCGAUGGGAAACAGGUUAAUAUUCCUGUACUUGGUGUUACUGCGAAGGGGGGACGGAGAAGGCUAUGUUGGCCGGGCGACGGUUGUCCCGGUUUAAGCGUGUAGGCUGGUUUUCCAGGCAAAUCCGGAAAAUCAAGGCUGAGGCGUGAUGACGAGGCACUACGGUGCUGAAGCAACAAAUGCCCUGCUUCCAGGAAAAGCCUCUAAGCAUCAGGUAACAUCAAAUCGUACCCCAAACCGACACAGGUGGUCAGGUAGAGAAUACCAAGGCGCUUGAGAGAACUCGGGUGAAGGAACUAGGCAAAAUGGUGCCGUAACUUCGGGAGAAGGCACGCUGAUAUGUAGGUGAAGUCCCUCGCGGAUGGAGCUGAAAUCAGUCGAAGAUACCAGCUGGCUGCAACUGUUUAUUAAAAACACAGCACUGUGCAAACACGAAAGUGGACGUAUACGGUGUGACGCCUGCCCGGUGCCGGAAGGUUAAUUGAUGGGGUCAGCGCAAGCGAAGCUCUUGAUCGAAGCCCCGGUAAACGGCGGCCGUAACUAUAACGGUCCUAAGGUAGCGAAAUUCCUUGUCGGGUAAGUUCCGACCUGCACGAAUGGCGUAAUGAUGGCCAGGCUGUCUCCACCCGAGACUCAGUGAAAUUGAACUCGCUGUGAAGAUGCAGUGUACCCGCGGCAAGACGGAAAGACCCCGUGAACCUUUACUAUAGCUUGACACUGAACAUUGAGCCUUGAUGUGUAGGAUAGGUGGGAGGCUUUGAAGUGUGGACGCCAGUCUGCAUGGAGCCGACCUUGAAAUACCACCCUUUAAUGUUUGAUGUUCUAACGUGGACCCGUGAUCCGGGUUGCGGACAGUGUCUGGUGGGUAGUUUGACUGGGGCGGUCUCCUCCUAAAGAGUAACGGAGGAGCACGAAGGUUGGCUAAUCCUGGUCGGACAUCAGGAGGUUAGUGCAAUGGCAUAAGCCAGCUUGACUGCGAGCGUGACGGCGCGAGCAGGUGCGAAAGCAGGUCAUAGUGAUCCGGUGGUUCUGAAUGGAAGGGCCAUCGCUCAACGGAUAAAAGGUACUCCGGGGAUAACAGGCUGAUACCGCCCAAGAGUUCAUAUCGACGGCGGUGUUUGGCACCUCGAUGUCGGCUCAUCACAUCCUGGGGCUGAAGUAGGUCCCAAGGGUAUGGCUGUUCGCCAUUUAAAGUGGUACGCGAGCUGGGUUUAGAACGUCGUGAGACAGUUCGGUCCCUAUCUGCCGUGGGCGCUGGAGAACUGAGGGGGGCUGCUCCUAGUACGAGAGGACCGGAGUGGACGCAUCACUGGUGUUCGGGUUGUCAUGCCAAUGGCACUGCCCGGUAGCUAAAUGCGGAAGAGAUAAGUGCUGAAAGCAUCUAAGCACGAAACUUGCCCCGAGAUGAGUUCUCCCUGAC